Molecule: long non-coding RNA, 340 nt
Organism: Acanthopagrus latus (yellowfin seabream)
Lineage: Eukaryota; Metazoa; Chordata; Actinopteri; Spariformes; Sparidae
Exons: 2
Source: RefSeq, a predicted model, not a curated record
AAAAUUCAACUCCAGAAUCCCUCGCAGAAGGCAAAGGGGCCUGCAGGGCAAAAGAGAGAGAAAUCACAUGGCUGCUCUUCAAAAGGGGACCUGUGUAAGGCAGCCGGCAAAGUGCGUGGGAUCACACUCAGAAUGCAGCUGUGCGCGUGUGUCUGUGUUUAUGUGUCUGACAGCAUCAGACGGAGAGAGAGAGUGUGUCGCAUGCCUUCCUGUUCCUGUACCACCCUCCAACCCCAGAGCCGCAGACUCAAGGCAGUUUCCAGAAUCAAACAAUUUCACGCAGCUACUGGAGGAGGAAAUGAACUGAGCCCAGAGCAAUAAUAAAAUUAUACAAAUGUUA